GGGUUGUGAGGUUAAGCGACUAAGCGUACACGGUGGAUGCCCUGGCAGUCAGAGGCGAUGAAGGACGUGCUAAUCUGCGAUAAGCGUCGGUAAGGUGAUAUGAACCGUUAUAACCGGCGAUUUCCGAAUGGGGAAACCCAGUGUGUUUCGACACACUAUCAUUAACUGAAUCCAUAGGUUAAUGAGGCGAACCGGGGGAACUGAAACAUCUAAGUACCCCGAGGAAAAGAAAUCAACCGAGAUUCCCCCAGUAGCGGCGAGCGAACGGGGAGCAGCCCAGAGCCUGAAUCAGUGUGUGUGUUAGUGGAAGCGUCUGGAAAGGCGCGCGAUACAGGGUGACAGCCCCGUACACAAAAAUGCACAUACUGUGAGCUCGAUGAGUAGGGCGGGACACGUGGUAUCCUGUCUGAAUAUGGGGGACCAUCCUCCAAGGCUAAAUACUCCUGACUGACCGAUAGUGAACCAGUACCGUGAGGGAAAGGCGAAAAGAACCCCGGCGAGGGGAGUGAAAAAGAACCUGAAACCGUGUACGUACAAGCAGUGGGAGCCUCUUUUAUGGGGUGACUGCGUACCUUUUGUAUAAUGGGUCAGCGACUUAUAUUCUGUAGCAAGGUUAACCGAAUAGGGGAGCCGAAGGGAAACCGAGUCUUAACCGGGCGUUAAGUUGCAGGGUAUAGACCCGAAACCCGGUGAUCUAGCCAUGGGCAGGUUGAAGGUUGGGUAACACUAACUGGAGGACCGAACCGACUAAUGUUGAAAAAUUAGCGGAUGACUUGUGGCUGGGGGUGAAAGGCCAAUCAAACCGGGAGAUAGCUGGUUCUCCCCGAAAGCUAUUUAGGUAGCGCCUCGUGAAUUCAUCUCCGGGGGUAGAGCACUGUUUCGGCAAGGGGGUCAUCCCGACUUACCAACCCGAUGCAAACUGCGAAUACCGGAGAAUGUUAUCACGGGAGACACACGGCGGGUGCUAACGUCCGUCGUGAAGAGGGAAACAACCCAGACCGCCAGCUAAGGUCCCAAAGUCAUGGUUAAGUGGGAAACGAUGUGGGAAGGCCCAGACAGCCAGGAUGUUGGCUUAGAAGCAGCCAUCAUUUAAAGAAAGCGUAAUAGCUCACUGGUCGAGUCGGCCUGCGCGGAAGAUGUAACGGGGCUAAACCAUGCACCGAAGCUGCGGCAGCGACACUGUGUGUUGUUGGGUAGGGGAGCGUUCUGUAAGCCUGUGAAGGUGUACUGUGAGGUAUGCUGGAGGUAUCAGAAGUGCGAAUGCUGACAUAAGUAACGAUAAAGCGGGUGAAAAGCCCGCUCGCCGGAAGACCAAGGGUUCCUGUCCAACGUUAAUCGGGGCAGGGUGAGUCGACCCCUAAGGCGAGGCCGAAAGGCGUAGUCGAUGGGAAACAGGUUAAUAUUCCUGUACUUGGUGUUACUGCGAAGGGGGGACGGAGAAGGCUAUGUUGGCCGGGCGACGGUUGUCCCGGUUUAAGCGUGUAGGCUGGUUUUCCAGGCAAAUCCGGAAAAUCAAGGCUGAGGCGUGAUGACGAGGCACUACGGUGCUGAAGCAACAAAUGCCCUGCUUCCAGGAAAAGCCUCUAAGCAUCAGGUAACAUCAAAUCGUACCCCAAACCGACACAGGUGGUCAGGUAGAGAAUACCAAGGCGCUUGAGAGAACUCGGGUGAAGGAACUAGGCAAAAUGGUGCCGUAACUUCGGGAGAAGGCACGCUGAUAUGUAGGUGAAGUCCCUCGCGGAUGGAGCUGAAAUCAGUCGAAGAUACCAGCUGGCUGCAACUGUUUAUUAAAAACACAGCACUGUGCAAACACGAAAGUGGACGUAUACGGUGUGACGCCUGCCCGGUGCCGGAAGGUUAAUUGAUGGGGUCAGCGCAAGCGAAGCUCUUGAUCGAAGCCCCGGUAAACGGCGGCCGUAACUAUAACGGUCCUAAGGUAGCGAAAUUCCUUGUCGGGUAAGUUCCGACCUGCACGAAUGGCGUAAUGAUGGCCAGGCUGUCUCCACCCGAGACUCAGUGAAAUUGAACUCGCUGUGAAGAUGCAGUGUACCCGCGGCAAGACGGAAAGACCCCGUGAACCUUUACUAUAGCUUGACACUGAACAUUGAGCCUUGAUGUGUAGGAUAGGUGGGAGGCUUUGAAGUGUGGACGCCAGUCUGCAUGGAGCCGACCUUGAAAUACCACCCUUUAAUGUUUGAUGUUCUAACGUGGACCCGUGAUCCGGGUUGCGGACAGUGUCUGGUGGGUAGUUUGACUGGGGCGGUCUCCUCCUAAAGAGUAACGGAGGAGCACGAAGGUUGGCUAAUCCUGGUCGGACAUCAGGAGGUUAGUGCAAUGGCAUAAGCCAGCUUGACUGCGAGCGUGACGGCGCGAGCAGGUGCGAAAGCAGGUCAUAGUGAUCCGGUGGUUCUGAAUGGAAGGGCCAUCGCUCAACGGAUAAAAGGUACUCCGGGGAUAACAGGCUGAUACCGCCCAAGAGUUCAUAUCGACGGCGGUGUUUGGCACCUCGAUGUCGGCUCAUCACAUCCUGGGGCUGAAGUAGGUCCCAAGGGUAUGGCUGUUCGCCAUUUAAAGUGGUACGCGAGCUGGGUUUAGAACGUCGUGAGACAGUUCGGUCCCUAUCUGCCGUGGGCGCUGGAGAACUGAGGGGGGCUGCUCCUAGUACGAGAGGACCGGAGUGGACGCAUCACUGGUGUUCGGGUUGUCAUGCCAAUGGCACUGCCCGGUAGCUAAAUGCGGAAGAGAUAAGUGCUGAAAGCAUCUAAGCACGAAACUUGCCCCGAGAUGAGUUCUCCCUGACCCUUUAAGGGUCCUGAAGGAACGUUGAAGACGACGACGUUGAUAGGCCGGGUGUGUAAGCGCAGCGAUGCGUUGAGCUAACCGGUACUAAUGAACCGUGAGGCUUAACCUUACAACGCCGAAGGUGUUU
RNAcentral lists this ribosomal RNA (2929 nucleotides) under Escherichia coli. RNAcentral describes it as "bacterial LSU rRNA". It matches the Rfam family "Bacterial large subunit ribosomal RNA". Lineage: Bacteria; Pseudomonadati; Pseudomonadota; Gammaproteobacteria; Enterobacterales; Enterobacteriaceae. The record is from RNAcentral.